Molecule: non-coding RNA, 95 nt
Organism: Mycena latifolia
Lineage: Eukaryota; Fungi; Basidiomycota; Agaricomycetes; Agaricales; Mycenaceae
Source: the annotation of a GenBank genome assembly
GGCCCGGUAGCGGACGGUUUCCGCACCUGCUUUCAAUGCUUCAUUAUCCAUACAAUUUUCAGUAGGACACGCUCGUUCGACUCGAGCCUGGGCCA